GCGGGUGUCGCCAAGUGGUAAGGCAUCAGCCUUCCAAGCUGAUAUGCGUGGGUUCGAAUCCCAUCACCCGCU
RNAcentral lists this transfer RNA (72 nucleotides) under Chloroflexota bacterium. RNAcentral describes it as "Chloroflexi bacterium (freshwater metagenome) tRNA-Gly". It matches the Rfam family "tRNA". From Rfam's summary of the family: Transfer RNA (tRNA) molecules are approximately 80 nucleotides in length. Their secondary structure includes four short double-helical elements and three loops (D, anti-codon, and T loops). The record is from RNAcentral. RNAcentral also lists the same sequence under 1 other name. Lineage: Bacteria; Bacillati; Chloroflexota.